AAAAGAACCUAUAUCCAAAGAGCUGGGUUCUCCUUUCGGAUGUGAUGUUGAACAGUUUCUCUGUGUGCUUCAUCUCCACCUCCCUCCCAGCUUUUAUGUCCCUUCUACUUCGUCUUCAAACUCGAGUUCAAAUCUCCUUCCCUCUGAAAACCCCCUCUCGACUGCGCUACCCAUUGUAAAGACCGACUCUUCAGUGAAGGCUGCUGAUAAAUUCACCAGAUUUGCUCAGGGAUUGUCAGCUAGAGCUCACAAAACUACUAAUCUAUCAGCCCUCUGGUUGGAUACUUCAAAAUGGAUGUGAGCACAUGUAUAAGGCAGAGCUACAUUUAUAAACAGGUAAUCUUGUAAAUGUUAACAUUUGCAAUUGAGGUAAUAGUUCCCUUCACUUAUCAUUCAUUAUAAGAACAAUUAAAAUGUUUAUUUCUCUAAUCUACGGCUAUUUCUUGAGGUGAUUUAUAUCAAAU
This 464-nucleotide long non-coding RNA is filed under the name Pan troglodytes (chimpanzee). RNAcentral's name for it is "lncRNA (ENSPTRG00000053651.1)". Lineage: Eukaryota; Metazoa; Chordata; Mammalia; Primates; Hominidae. The record is from RNAcentral.